UUGUGGAAACACGAGAGUGCCUCGCAAGAGGAGGCCUGGAGACAGGUGCUGCAUGGCUGUCGUCAGCUCGUGUCGUGAGAUGUUGGGUUAAGUCCCGCAGCGAGCGCAACCCCUAUCUUUAGUUGCCAUCAUUGAGUUGGGCACUCUAAAGAGACUGCCGGUAAUAAACCGGAGGAAGGUGGGGAUGACGUCAAAUCAUCAUGCCCCUUAUGACCUGGGCUACACACGUGCUACAAUGGUUGGUACAACGAGUUGCGAGUCGGUGACGGCGAGCUAAUCUCUUAAAGCCAAUCUCAGUUCGGAUUGUAGGCUGCAACUCGCCUACAUGAAGUCGGAAUCGCUAGUAAUCGCGGAUCAGCACGCCGCGGUCGAAUACGUUCCCGGGCCUU
This 389-nucleotide ribosomal RNA is filed under the name uncultured Streptococcus sp. Its description in RNAcentral is "bacterial SSU rRNA". It matches the Rfam family "Bacterial small subunit ribosomal RNA", at positions 998 to 1382 of the family's 1533-position model. The record is from RNAcentral. Lineage: Bacteria; Bacillati; Bacillota; Bacilli; Lactobacillales; Streptococcaceae.